This 428-nucleotide ribosomal RNA is filed under the name uncultured prokaryote. RNAcentral describes it as "bacterial SSU rRNA". It matches the Rfam family "Bacterial small subunit ribosomal RNA", at positions 355 to 774 of the family's 1533-position model. The record is from RNAcentral.
UGAGGAAUAUUGCGCAAUGGGGGCAACCCUGACGCAGCGACGCCGCGUGAGUGAGGAAGGCCUUCGGGUCGUAAAGCUCUGUCAAAGGGAAAGAAGUGCAUGGUGGCUAAUACCUGCCAUGUUUGACGGUACCCUUAAAGGAAGCACCGGCUAACUCCGUGCCAGCAGCCGCGGUAAUACGGAGGGUGCAAGCGUUGUUCGGAAUCACUGGACGUAAAGGGCGCGUAGGCGGUUUGAUAAGUCAGAUGUGAAAGCCCACGGCUUAACUGUGGAAGUGCAUUUGAAACUGUCAGACUUGAGUAUCAGAGGGGAAAGUGGAAUUCCCGGUGUAGAGGUGAAAUUCGUAGAUAUCGGGAGGAAUACCGGUGGCGAAGGCGUCUCACCAGAACGGACCUGACGGCAAGGGACGAAAGCUAGGGGCACGAACC